Long non-coding RNA from Oncorhynchus tshawytscha (Chinook salmon), 401 nucleotides. The record is from Ensembl. NCBI's taxonomy places the organism in Eukaryota, Metazoa, Chordata, Actinopteri, Salmoniformes, Salmonidae.
GAAAAUAAGAAUUUGUUCUAAACUGACUUGCCUAGUUAAAUAAAGGAUAAAUAAAUUAAAAUUGAGCAUCUUGAUCUUAAUGAGGAAGCUAAAUUGAAUGAUUUUACAAGGCUAGAGGAGCCUUCAUACGGUCCAGGAAACAAUGGCGUGAAAAGGGCAUAAAGAACAGCAGAUAACAGUCUUUAGAACUUUGUUUGAGGCUUCUACUGUGAGGUGAAUGAGAGGGGGCUGAAUGAGAGGGGGCUGAAUGAGAGGGGGCUGAAUGAGAGGGGAUUGAGGUGUCUGGCCGAGUGCCACAGGCUAAAUGAGAGGGGGCUGAAUGAGAGGGGAUUGAGGUGUCUGGCCGAGUGCCACAGGCUGAAUGAGAGGGGGCUGAAUGAGAGGGGAUUGAGGUGUCUGGC